This 111-nucleotide small nuclear RNA is filed under the name Chinchilla lanigera (long-tailed chinchilla). Lineage: Eukaryota; Metazoa; Chordata; Mammalia; Rodentia; Chinchillidae. The record is from RNAcentral.
CUACCACACACCCGGCAAAACUGGUAUGAAAUUGGAAUAAUGUGCAAAGAAGAUUAGUAUGGCCCUUGUACAAAGAUGAUAUACAAAUUUAUGAAGGAUAUAUAUAUCUAU